RNAcentral lists this ribosomal RNA (501 nucleotides) under uncultured bacterium. Its description in RNAcentral is "partial 16S ribosomal RNA". It matches the Rfam family "Bacterial small subunit ribosomal RNA", at positions 30 to 523 of the family's 1533-position model. The record is from RNAcentral.
AUUGAACGCUGGCGGCAUGCCUUACACAUGCAAGUCGAACGGCAGCACGGGUGCUUGCACCUGGUGGCGAGUGGCGAACGGGUGAGUAAUACAUCGGAACGUACCUUAUCGUGGGGGAUAACGCAGCGAAAGCUGUGCUAAUACCGCAUACGCCCUGAUGGGGAAAACGGGGGAUCGCAAGACCUCGCGCGAUUAGAGCGGCCGAUGCCUGAUUAGCUUGUUGGUGGGGUAAAAGCCCACCAAGGCGACGAUCAGUAGCUGGUCUGAGAGGACGAUCAGCCACACUGGGACUGAGACACGGCCCAGACUCCUACGGGAGGCAGCAGUGGGGAAUUUUGGACAAUGGGGGCAACCCUGAUCCAGCAAUGCCGCGUGAGUGAAGAAGGCCUUCGGGUUGUAAAGCUCUUUUGUCAGGGAAGAAACACCGGCUCUAACACAGUCCGGGAAUGACGGUACCUGAAGAAUAAGCACCGGCCAACUACGUGCCAGCCGCCGCAGUAA